This 253-nucleotide ribosomal RNA is filed under the name uncultured bacterium. RNAcentral's name for it is "partial 16S ribosomal RNA". It matches the Rfam family "Bacterial small subunit ribosomal RNA", at positions 524 to 776 of the family's 1533-position model. The record is from RNAcentral.
UACAGAGGAUGCAAGCGUUAUCCGGAUUGAUUGGGCGUAAAGCGUCUGUAGGUGGCUUUUUAAGUCCGCCGUCAAAUCCCAGGGCUCAACUCUGGACAGGCGGUGGAAACUACCAAGCUGGAGUACGGUAGGGGCAGAGGGAAUUUCCGGUGGAGCGGUGAAAUGCGCAGAUAUCAGGAGGAACACCGGUGGGGAAGGCGGCCGACUGGGGCGGUACUGACGCUGAGGAGCGAAAGCGUGGGGAGCGAACCGG